RNAcentral lists this ribosomal RNA (465 nucleotides) under uncultured bacterium. RNAcentral describes it as "partial 16S ribosomal RNA". It matches the Rfam family "Bacterial small subunit ribosomal RNA", at positions 28 to 507 of the family's 1533-position model. The record is from RNAcentral.
GACGAACGCUGGCGGCGUGCUUAACACAUGCAAGUCGUACGGUAAGGCCCUUUCGGGGGUACACGAGUGGCGAACGGGUGAGUAACACGUGAGUAACCUGCCCACAACUUUGGGAUAACGCUAGGAAACUGGUGCUAAUACUGGAUAUGUGCUCCUGCUGCAUGGUGGGGGUUGGAAAGCUCCGGCGGUUGUGGAUGGACUCGCGGCCUAUCAGCUUGUUGGUGGGGUAGUGGCCUACCAAGGCGGCGACGGGUAGCCGGCCUGAGAGGGUGACCGGCCACAUUGGGACUGAGAUACGGCCCAGACUCCUACGGGAGGCAGCAGUGGGGAAUAUUGCACAAUGGGCGAAAGCCUGAUGCAGCAACGCCGCGUGCGGGAUGACGGCCUUCGGGUUGUAAACCGCUUUCAGCAGGGACGAAGCUUUUUGUGACGGUACCUGCAGAAGAAGCACCGGCUAACUACGUG